CCUCUUUAGGCCACGGAGCCGCGCAGAUCCGGUUCCCGGGUGACCACUCUGUCGCCAUUGGGCGAGACCUACCUAGUCCUGACGACAACGGACAAAGGCCUUAAGGGGCCUGGAAGGGAUAUGAUAUUGAAGCACGUGACAAGUUGGUGAUUUCAGCAGUGGUUUCUCCCGUCUAUAGAAACUCUCCAGCAGACGGCAAUUUUCCACCUUCCUGUAUAAAACCAGAAUCCUCUCACCUGACAGAAAUCUCUCUCUCCAGAUGCUGCAAAGCCAGCACAGAUCAUCUUCUCUGUGAUCCCUCCUGGAUGGGCGGAAUAAAAGAAGAGGGGCUGAAGCGGACACUGCUUGAUAUCAUUUACAUGACCUAUUUUCAGAAAUAACAACUGGCAUUAAUGUUUAUGCAACAAAAAAUGCUUACCUGCACUGAUGCUUCCCCAUCCGGUCACAGCACAGAUCUCCGAGGAAAACAGAGGCUCUGUGCUGUGUGGGAGACAUACUGGCCUCACCACCGAGUUGUACUCCAGAGGAGAGCUUAGUUGUAUUAGGGCGAUGUCAGAGUCAUAACUUAGUGUGUUAAAGUCUUCAUGCACUAUUAUGUGUUUGGCCCUUCUCACCUGUAUCAGUGGCAAGUAAGCAAAUUACAAUGUAAGAAA
This 653-nucleotide non-coding RNA is filed under the name Pongo abelii (Sumatran orangutan). Lineage: Eukaryota; Metazoa; Chordata; Mammalia; Primates; Hominidae. The record is from RNAcentral.